CUGUAGACAUACGGUGGUGGGGGAGAUUUGUAGUCUACCUUCGGGGAAGGUGAGUAGUAUGGUGGUGGUGGUGAGCUAUAGACGUACGGUGGUGGAGGAGAUUUGUAGUCUACUUUAGGGGAAGGUGAGUAGUAUGGUGGUGGUGGUGAGCUGUAGACGUACGGUGGUGGGGGAGAUUUGUAGUCUACCUUAGGGGAAGGUGAGUAGUAUGGUGGUGGUGGUGAGCUGUAGACGUACGGUGGUGGGGGAGACUUGUAAACUACUUUAGGAGAAGGAGAGUAGUAUGGUGGUGGUGGUGAGCUGUAGACGUACGGUGGUGGGGGAGACUUGUAGACUACCUUAGGAGAAGGAGAGUAGUAUGGUGGUGGUGGAGAACUGUAGACAUACGGUGGUGGAGGAGACUUGUAGACUACCUUAGGAGAAGGAGAAUAAUAUGGUGGUGGUGGAGAACUGUAAACGUAUGGUGGUGGGGGAGACUUGUAGACUACCUUAGGAGAAGGAGAGUAGUAUGGUGGUGGUGGAGAACUGUAGACAUACGGUGGUGGGGGAGACUUGUAGACUACCUUAGGAGAAGGAGAAUAGUAUGGAGGUGGUGGAGAACUGUAAACAUACGGUGGUGGGGGAGACUUGUAGACUACCUUAGGAGAAGGAGAGUAGUAUGGUGGUGGUGGAGAACUAUAGACAUACGGUGGUGGGGGAGACUUGUAGUGUACCUUAGGGGAAGGAGAGUAAUAUGGUGGUGGUGGAGAACUGUAGACAUACGGUGGUGGGGGAGACUUGUAGUGUACCUUAGGAGAAGGAGAGUGAUAUGGUGGUGGUGGAGAACUGUAAACGUACGGUGGUGGGGAGGACUUGUACACAACCUUUGGAGAUGGAGAAUAACAUGGAGGAGGUGGUGGACAGACACAUACAUGAGGGUGUGGUGGAGAUUUGUAUAGAACCUUAGGGGAUGGUGCGUGGUAUGGUGAUGGAGGAGACUUGUAGUAUACUUUAGGAGAAGGGGAGUAGUAUGGUGGUGGUGGAGAACUGUAAACGUAUGGUGGUGGGGGAGACUUGUAGACUACCUUAGGAGAAGGAGAGUAGUAUGGUGGUGGUGGAGAACUGUAGACAUACGGUGGUGGGGGAGACUUGUAGACUACCUUAGGAGAAGGAGAGUAGUAUGGAGGUGGUGGAGAACUGUAAACAUACGGUGGUGGGGGAGACUUGUAGACUACCUUAGGAGAAGGAGAGUAGUAUGGUGGUGGUGGAGAACUGUAGACAUACGGUGGUGGGGGAGACUUGUAUAAAACCUUUGGUGAAGGAGAGUAGUACGGUGGUGGUGGAGAACUGUAAACAUAUGGUGGUGGAGGAGACUUGUAGUCUACCUUAGGGGAUG
This 1375-nucleotide long non-coding RNA is filed under the name Arabidopsis thaliana (thale cress). RNAcentral's name for it is "long non-coding RNA (ATHA_LNC000136)". The record is from RNAcentral. Lineage: Eukaryota; Viridiplantae; Streptophyta; Magnoliopsida; Brassicales; Brassicaceae.